RNAcentral lists this long non-coding RNA (1151 nucleotides) under Equus asinus (donkey). RNAcentral's name for it is "lncRNA (ENSEASG00005026376.1)". Lineage: Eukaryota; Metazoa; Chordata; Mammalia; Perissodactyla; Equidae. The record is from RNAcentral.
GGGCAACUGAGGAGCCUAGGAUGCAACAUUUAAGGAGGCACUCGCUCUCCGACGCUGACGCUGCACUCGCAUGACUCUGAGAGUGUCUCCUUAAAUGUUGCUUUCUUGGUGCCCCACUUACCCCAUCCUAGUCCUGGCCCUGUUUGACUCAGUUUUCUGGACCUACAGCUGAAACCUCUAACUGGAGGUAGAUGCUACUGUGCUCCUCAUUUUAAGAGUGAGAAAACUGAGGCCAAGGUCACACAGUAGUAAGUGGAGCAGCCAAGAUUCAAACCCUCUGAGAGUCUGAGUGCACAACUCCUCCAGUUAACCGUCGGCAGUACGGACACAUGAAGCUGAAGCACUUGUAGGAUGUCACAUGGAGCUGCCCAGUGGACAAGCUGACCUGGAGUUCAGGAGGGAGAUUCUGAGCAACGGUUAAAGACCUAGGAGGAAUCAAGGCAUCGGAAGGGAUGAAAGCGUCCAAGGCGGGUUAACAAGCUAUCCCCUCACAGUGCUGUCAAUCGUUUUCUGUUGUCCUUUGGCAUUUAAUUAUUACAGAGGAAGAAUCUGAAGAAAACCAGUUUUUAGCUUUUUUAUAAUUUUUUUUUCUGAUUGGAUACUGUGUUUGUUCUUUACCCCUGAAAUUUAAGAAGUUUUCUAGAUUAUGUCUUGAAGUUGGUUUCCGCUUACUCAUUUUUCUGGAUCCCAGUGAACUCACUCAAUUUUCCAUUUCCACCUCAGAUCUUUUCACAUCUAAGGCAAGUUUUCUUUUAUUAUCAUUUUAAUUAUUGCUUCUAAUUGAUUUGCUCUGUCUUCUUUUAGGGGAAUUCCUAUAGUUUGACUCUCCAUGACGUUCUCCUAUCCAUUUUCUUCUCUCUCAAAGAAUUCCAGCACUUUGAAUUUUUCAUAUAUUUAGCCUCUAUAUUGCUGAUUUGCUGUUGCAUUGUCAAAUCUGCCUUUUACUGCUUUGACCAUUGCAUUUUGCUUUGGUUACAGUGGUUUUAAUUUCGUAGUACUUGCCAUUUACUUUGGCCUAUUCUUCAGAAGAUGCAACUUCCUCUUGUAAUCAAGAAUAACCAUUAGCUGUUUUCUAAAACUGUGUUCUGCUUCAUGGACUAAAUAUAUGUCAAAGAAGUAAUUUUUGGCUCUAGCACUUUAUUUCUUUUCUC